CCGAAACAAAACACAGCCCUAAUGACAUGAGUUUCUUGUAAACUGUUUUACCAGGUUGUUUACUGCAGAACAGAGGUCAGACAUUUCUAAAUGGAGUCUUCUGUGGACACCUUUGAGCACUGAAUGACAGAUGGCAUAGAGUGAUGGAUAAAGAAAUGGACCCAGAUAGGAGAUCUGGAUUCUAACCCUUCCUCCCUCGCUAUGUGACCCAAUUUAAGGUACGUUCUCUCCUUAGGCUCAGUUUGUUUGUUUGUUUGUU
RNAcentral lists this long non-coding RNA (259 nucleotides) under Macaca mulatta (Rhesus monkey). Its description in RNAcentral is "lncRNA (ENSMMUG00000060887.1)". Lineage: Eukaryota; Metazoa; Chordata; Mammalia; Primates; Cercopithecidae. The record is from RNAcentral.